This 407-nucleotide ribosomal RNA is filed under the name uncultured bacterium. RNAcentral's name for it is "partial 16S ribosomal RNA". It matches the Rfam family "Bacterial small subunit ribosomal RNA", at positions 28 to 526 of the family's 1533-position model. The record is from RNAcentral.
GACGAACGCUGGCGGCGCGCUUAACACAUGCAAGUCGAGCGAAGCGGCGGACGGGUGAGUAACACGUGAGUAACCUGCCUUAGACAUUGGGAUAGCCUCGGGCAACCGGGAUUAAUACCAAAUGGUCUAAGAUGUACUCGCGUCCCAUUCGCUCGUUGGUGAGGUAACGGCCCACCAAGGCGACAAUGGGUAGCCGGCGUGAGAGGGGGAACCGCCACAUUUGAACGAGGAAACGGUCCAAACUCUACGGGAGGCAGCAGUGGGGAAUAUUGCACAAUGGAGGGAACUCUGAUGCAGCGACGCCGCGUGAACGAAGAAGGCUUUCGAGUCGUAAAGUUCUUUUAUAUGGGAAGCGGUACCAUAAGAAAAAGCCCCGGCUAACUACGUGCCAGCAGCCGCGGUAAUAC